AAUAAAAACAGUCGCUAAUUAAUUAGUUUUUUCACAAAAUCCCUAAUUCUAACUUAGACAUUUCAUUUUCAGAAAACCUAAUAUUCCAUUCCUCUCUUCUCUCUCCCGCCCAAAACUCCAUGAUCCUCUCUUCGCCUCAAGCUCCAUGAAAGAAGACUCUCUCGACUAGGCCAGCGGCGCACCACCGAAUCUUGAGGGCCAUUUCAACCUUCUCCACUCUAUUUCCCUCUCCGCUGGAUCUCUCUCCCCUUCGCCCUCUUCUUAGCACGACCCAACCACAACAAUACCUCCUUGGUGUCCUCUUCAUUGCCGACCACUGCUCCUCCAGAGGUGAAGAAGCUGCAAGGGCUAUUCCUCUUAGUGCAAGGAAAUCUAUUAGAGGAUCGAGUGAAGGAGUUGUACCAUUUCUGCAGCUCCAACAUUUUAGUGAGUCUGUUGCUCCAACAUUUUAAAAAUUACUCAAUCUUUCAUUAUAAAGCUUAUGACGCUACUUAGCGAUACAAUUUUAAAUCGAAGAUUAGAUAAGCAAGAAGGUACUUUGAAUAAUAUCAAAACUUAUGAAAGUUAGGAGUAGAAGAACCUUUUCUAAUAACACAUAUGGAGGAUAGGCUUGUAUAUUGUAAGUGUAAAUUUUUAUUAAGUUAUGGAUGUUGGGCUUGUAUAUUGAAAGUAUUCUUAGAAAUAUUUGUUAUAUAGACACUUUAUGUAAUAUUACUCAUGUAAUUGAUACAAUUUUAAAUUUAUCUUUUAUUAAUUCUAACUUUA
Molecule: long non-coding RNA, 765 nt
Organism: Cannabis sativa
Lineage: Eukaryota; Viridiplantae; Streptophyta; Magnoliopsida; Rosales; Cannabaceae
Exons: 3
Source: RefSeq, a predicted model, not a curated record